AAUGCCUAAGGUUUCCUGAGGAAGGCUCGUCCGCUCAGGGUUAGUCGGGACCUAAGCCGAGGCCGAAAGGCGUAGGCGAUGGACAACAGGUUGAUAUUCCUGUACCACCUCCUCACCAUUUGAGCAAUGGGGGGACGCAGGAGGAUAGGGUAAGCGCGGUAUUGGAUAUCCGCGUCCAAGCAGUUAGGCUGGGAAAUAGGCAAAUCCGUUUCCCAUAAGGCUGAGCUGUGAUGGCGAGCGAAAUAUAGUAGCGAAGUUCCUGAUUCCACACUGCCAAGAAAAGCCUCUAGCGAGGUGAGAGGUGCCCGUACCGCAAACCGACACAGGUAGGCGAGGAGAGAAUCCUAAGGUGAUCGAGAGAACUCUCGUUAAGGAACUCGGCAAAAUGACCCCGUAACUUCGGGAGAAGGGGUGCUCUGUUAGGGUGCAAGCCCGAGAGAGCCGCAGUGAAUAGGCCCAGGCGACUGUUUAGCAAAAACACAGGUCUCUGCGAAGCCGUAAGGCGAAGUAUAGGGGCUGACGCCUGCCCGGUGCUGGAAGGUUAAGAGGAGCGCUUAGCGUAAGCGAAGGUGCGAAUUGAAGCCCCAGUAAACGGCGGCCGUAACUAUAACGGUCCUAAG
This 620-nucleotide ribosomal RNA is filed under the name Bacillus paralicheniformis. RNAcentral describes it as "bacterial LSU rRNA". It matches the Rfam family "Bacterial large subunit ribosomal RNA", at positions 1340 to 1955 of the family's 2925-position model. The record is from RNAcentral. Lineage: Bacteria; Bacillati; Bacillota; Bacilli; Caryophanales; Bacillaceae.